CCUACGGGUGACAGCAGUGGGGAAUAUUGGGCAAUGGGCGCAAGCCUGACCCAGCAACGCCGCGUGAAGGAAGAAGGCUUUCGGGUUGUAAAAUUCUUUUGUCAGGGAAGAGUAGAAGACGGUACCUGACGAAUAAGCUACGGCUAACUACGUGCCAGCAGCCGCGGUAAUACGUAGGUGGCAAGCGUUUUCCGGAUUUACUGGGUGUAAAGGGCGUGUAGCCGGGUUGACAAGUCAGAUGUGAAAUCCUGCGGCUUAACCGCAGAACUGCAUUUGAAACUGUUGAUCUUGAGUACUGGAGAGGCAGAUGGAAUUCCUAGUGUAGCGGUGAAAUGCGUAGAUAUUAGGAGGAACACCAGUGGCGAAGGCGGUCUGCUGGACAGCAACUGACGGUGAGGCGCGAAAGCGUGGGGAGCAAACAGGAUUAGAUACCCCUGUAGUC
This 442-nucleotide ribosomal RNA is filed under the name uncultured bacterium. RNAcentral describes it as "partial 16S ribosomal RNA". It matches the Rfam family "Bacterial small subunit ribosomal RNA", at positions 338 to 795 of the family's 1533-position model. The record is from RNAcentral.